Molecule: ribosomal RNA, 559 nt
Filed under: Staphylococcus aureus
Lineage: Bacteria; Bacillati; Bacillota; Bacilli; Caryophanales; Staphylococcaceae
Description: bacterial SSU rRNA
Rfam family: Bacterial small subunit ribosomal RNA
Source: RNAcentral
AGGAUGAACGCUGGCGGCGUGCCUAAUACAUGCAAGUCGAGCGAACGGACGAGAAGCUUGCUUCUCUGAUGUUAGCGGCGGACGGGUGAGUAACACGUGGAUAACCUACCUAUAAGACUGGGAUCCUUCGGGAAACCGGAGCUAAUACCGGAUAAUAUUUUGAACCGCAUGGUUCAAAAGUGAAAGACGGUCUUGCUGUCACUUAUAGAUGGAUCCGCGCUGCAUUAGCUAGUUGGUGAGGUAACGGCUUACCAAGGCAACGAUGCAUAGCCGACCUGAGAGGGUGAUCGGCCACACUGGAACUGAGACACGGUCCAGACUCCUACGGGAGGCAGCAGUAGGGAAUCUUCCGCAAUGGGCGAAAGCCUGACGGAGCAACGCCGCGUCUGUGAUGAAGGUCUUCGGAUCGUAAAACUCUGUUAUUAGGGAAGAACAUAUGUGUAAGUAACUGUGCACAUCUUGACGGUACCUAAUCAGAAAGCCACGGCUAACUACGUGCCAGCAGCCGCGGUAAUACGUAGGUGGCAAGCGUUAUCCGGAAUUAUUGGGCGUAAAGCGC